Molecule: ribosomal RNA, 506 nt
Filed under: uncultured Glomeromycotina
Lineage: Eukaryota; Fungi; Glomeromycota
Description: partial small subunit ribosomal RNA
Rfam family: Eukaryotic small subunit ribosomal RNA
Source: RNAcentral
CCAAUAGCGUAUAUUAAAGUUGUUGCAGUUAAAAAGCUCGUAGUUGAAUUUCGGGAUUGACGUGACGGUCGUGCCUUAAGGGGUAUGAACUGUUGCAGUCAAUUUCUCACCUUCUGGAGAAAUAUGAUGUCCUUAAUUGGGUGUCAUAUGGAACCAGAACUUUUACCUUGAAAAAAUUAGAGUGUUUAAAGCAGGCAUAUUGCUCGAAUACAUUAGCAUGGAAUAAUAGAAUAGGACGGCAUGGUUCUAUUUUGUUGGUUUCUAGGAUCACCGUAAUGAUUAAUAGGGAUAGUUGGAGGCAUUAGUAUUCAAUUGUCAGAGGUGAAAUUCUUGGAUUUAUUGAAGACUAACUACUGCGAAAGCAUUUGCCAAGGAUGUUUUCAUUAAUCAAGAACGAAAGUUAGGGGAUCGAAGACGAUCAGAUACCGUCGUAGUCUUAACCAUAAACUAUGCCGACUAGGAAUCAGACGAUGUUAAUUUUUUAAUGACUCGUUUGGCACCUUACG